This 19-nucleotide non-coding RNA is filed under the name Arabidopsis thaliana (thale cress). The record is from RNAcentral. RNAcentral also lists the same sequence under 2 other names. Lineage: Eukaryota; Viridiplantae; Streptophyta; Magnoliopsida; Brassicales; Brassicaceae.
CCGAAAGAUGGUGAACUAU